RNAcentral lists this transfer RNA (75 nucleotides) under Phormidium sp. FACHB-592. RNAcentral describes it as "tRNA-Leu". It matches the Rfam family "tRNA". Rfam says of the family: Transfer RNA (tRNA) molecules are approximately 80 nucleotides in length. Their secondary structure includes four short double-helical elements and three loops (D, anti-codon, and T loops). Lineage: Bacteria; Bacillati; Cyanobacteriota; Cyanophyceae; Oscillatoriales; Oscillatoriaceae. The record is from RNAcentral. RNAcentral also lists the same sequence under 1 other name.
ACCCCUGUGACGCAAUUGGCAGACGUGUCCGGCUUAAAACUGGAAUCUUUGCGAGUUCGAGUCUCGCCAGGGGUA